RNAcentral lists this ribosomal RNA (468 nucleotides) under uncultured bacterium. RNAcentral's name for it is "partial 16S ribosomal RNA". It matches the Rfam family "Bacterial small subunit ribosomal RNA", at positions 28 to 507 of the family's 1533-position model. The record is from RNAcentral.
GACGAACGCUGGCGGCGUGCUUAACACAUGCAAGUCGAACGGAAAGGCCUUCUUUCUCUGGUGUGUUCGGGUUGCGCGCGUGUGAGACAGACGAGUGUAACCUGCGUUAUCCUCUCGCAUCUCUUGAGUAAACUGGGGAUACUACGUGUAAGUCGCUACAGCACCACGGUGUGGGUUGGAUAGUUUCGGCGGUUGGUGAUGGAGUCGGGGCUUAUCAGCUUGGUGGUCGGGUUGUUGCUUGGGAAGGCUCCGCCGGGUAGCCGGCCUGAGAGGGUGACCGGCCACAUGGGGACUGAGAUACGGCCCAGACGCCGACGGGAGGCAGCAGUGGGGAAUAUUGCACAAUGGGCGGAAGCCUGAGGCAGCAACGCCGCGUGCGGGAUGACGGCCUUCGGGUGGUAAACCGCAUGCGCCUGGGACGAAGCGGGAGUGACGGUAAUGGGUAAAGAAGCACCGGCUAACUACGUG